This 492-nucleotide ribosomal RNA is filed under the name uncultured bacterium. RNAcentral describes it as "partial 16S ribosomal RNA". It matches the Rfam family "Bacterial small subunit ribosomal RNA", at positions 29 to 507 of the family's 1533-position model. The record is from RNAcentral.
AGUGAACGCUGGCGGUAGGCCUAACACAUGCAAGUCGAACGGCAGCACAGUAAGAGCUUGCUCUUACGGGUGGCGAGUGGCGGACGGGUGAGGAAUACAUCGGAAUCUACUUUUUCGUGGGGGAUAACGUAGGGAAACUUACGCUAAUACCGCAUACGACCUACGGGUGAAAGCAGGGGAUCUUCGGACCUUGCGCGAUUGACUGAGCCGAUGUCGGAUUAGCUAGUUGGCGGGGUAAAGGCCCACCAAGGCGACGAUCCGUAGCUGGUCUGAGAGGAUGAUCAGCCACACUGGAACUGAGACACGGUCCAGACUCCUACGGGAGGCAGCAGUGGGGAAUAUUGGACAAUGGGCGCAAGCCUGAUCCAGCCAUACCGCGUGGGUGAAGAAGGCCUUCGGGUUGUAAAGCCCUUUUGUUGGGAAAGAAAAGCAGCGGGUUAAUACCCCGCUGUUCUGACGGUACCCAAAGAAUAAGCACCGGCUAACUUCGUG